RNAcentral lists this transfer RNA (63 nucleotides) under Peronia peronii. RNAcentral describes it as "tRNA-Thr". It matches the Rfam family "tRNA". Rfam says of the family: Transfer RNA (tRNA) molecules are approximately 80 nucleotides in length. Their secondary structure includes four short double-helical elements and three loops (D, anti-codon, and T loops). Further hydrogen bonds mediate the characteristic L-shaped molecular structure. tRNAs have two regions of fundamental functional importance: the anti-codon, which is responsible for specific mRNA codon recognition, and the 3' end, to which the tRNAs corresponding amino acid is attached (by aminoacyl-tRNA synthetases). tRNAs cope with the degeneracy of the genetic code in two manners: having more than one tRNA (with a specific anti-codon) for a particular amino acid; and 'wobble' base-pairing, i.e. permitting non-standard base-pairing at the 3rd anti-codon position. The record is from RNAcentral. Lineage: Eukaryota; Metazoa; Mollusca; Gastropoda; Systellommatophora; Onchidiidae.
ACCGAAAUAGCUUAAAUAAAGCAUUGAUUUUGUAAUUCAAAGAUAAGUUGCUCUUUUUCGGUA